Molecule: non-coding RNA, 1472 nt
Organism: Arachis ipaensis
Lineage: Eukaryota; Viridiplantae; Streptophyta; Magnoliopsida; Fabales; Fabaceae
Source: RefSeq, a predicted model, not a curated record
CACUAUCACAAACAAAAACAAAGAAAUAACCAUAGAGAUGUCAAAAAUGUCAACCACUAACAUAUGAACUUUGGGGCAUAAUCAUAAUCAGCUUACUCAUCCUUAAAAUCCAAGCUAAAUUUUUUUCAACAGAUAAAGAAAGACACAUGCCAAAUAAUAAUAUUUUUUUCACCUUUCUUAUAACAUCUUUAGGUUCCUAGGAAAUCCUUUAACAGAAUUGGAAUCAAUUGAAUGUAAGACCCUUAAUCUACAUGGCUUUACUUUUAGAGAUAGUAAGAAGUUAACCUCAUUCCCUUUUAUGGAGAAAAAUAAAAUAGUUAAAAAAAUUGAGUAAGAUUAAAUAAGUUGUCCCUCAAAAAAAAUUUUAGAACCCAUUAUCUCUAAAAUGAAACACAUUGUAAGAAGUUAGACUUUCAUCUUAAGUGAAACAUGAUUUUAGAGAGAAACAGAGAGAUAUGUACUUUCAACAACUAAGAAAGUUGAGUAGUUUCUUCUCUUGCAUAAACCAACACUCCUUUUAAAUGUUCUUAAAAAAUAGAGGUCAGGUUUAUUGAGCAAAAUAUGGGCAAAAAUUAAAGAUAUAUGAGAAGAGAAAACCACUGGCCGAACAAAUAUUUAGCUUCAAAUUUUAGUUCCAAUUAUAAUGCAUGCCAAUGCCAAAUUCAAAAUCAAUGCAAAACAAUUUGAAUUAACCUUCACUAUCAAUUCAAGAAACAACUUGUUUUUUUUCUCCAUCAAAUAAAAAUAGAGACAUAGAAUAGUAAUACACACGUUUUCGAAUUAAAAUUCACAAAACUUCCUUCAUUUUUGUACUAUAUCCUUUUCCUAUAUAUUGAGAAUUGAAAAACAAAACCAAGUAAAUGCAACAUUGGAUUAAAAUAAAUGCAACAUUCAUAUUUUUGAAAGGACUAAAAGAGCAUAAAUUGAAAUUGAAUUAAAAAGAAAAAACAGAAUUUAAUUUAUAUCCACACCAAUAAAUAAUAAAUUAAAAAAAUAAGCAUAUAAGGCAUGAUAAUGGAAGGAAGAAAUUGGCAAAGAUUGAAGAGAAACAUGAUCCAAAAGAUGGAAAACGGGGUUGAGAAGGUAUGGUUUGGGAGAGAGAGGGAGAGAGAGAGAGAGAGAGAGAGAGAGAGAGAGAGCAAACAAAGAUGAUAUAUCAAGUAGAUAUGUAUAUUCAAAUUGGUAUGUCUCCAUCCUUAGUAGAUCUAUGGAUAUCUACCACCUAAGCAUGAGUGCAUGACUCCAAAACAUAUUGUCAUUCAUAAAGCAAAACAACAAAACUGCAAGCCCAACAAUAAUGAGCUAGUGCAGCAUAACCAUUAUGAAAAACAAAACAACAUUCCUCAAUUUAAGCAAUUAAGAAUUGUUCCACCAUGGAUAGCAAAACUAAUAAAAGCAAACUAAUUCUAAACAAUUAAGAUCCAAGACAAUGACUUCGGCAAUAACCUCGAGCAUAGAAAAAUGCUUAGAAA